CCUACGGGUGGCAGCAGUCGAGAAUCAUUCACAAUGGGGGAAACCCUGAUGGUGCGACGCCGCGUGGGGGAAUGAAGGUCUUCGGAUUGUAAACCCCUGUCAUGUGGGAGCAAAUUAAAAAGAUAGUACCACAAGAGGAAGAGACGGCUAACUCUGUGCCAGCAGCCGCGGUAAUACAGAGGUCUCAAGCGUUGUUCGGAAUCACUGGGCGUAAAGCGUGCGUAGGCUGUUUCGUAAGUCGUGUGUGAAAGGUGCGGGCUCAACCCGCGGACGGCACAUGAUACUGCGAGACUAGAGUAAUGGAGGGGGAACCGGAAUUCUCGGUGUAGCAGUGAAAUGCGUAGAGAUCGGGAGGAACACUCGUGGCGAAGGCGGGUUCCUGGACAUUAACUGACGCUGAGGCACGAAGGCCAGGGGAGCGAAAGGGAUUAGAUACCCUUGUAGUC
This 446-nucleotide ribosomal RNA is filed under the name uncultured bacterium. RNAcentral's name for it is "partial 16S ribosomal RNA". It matches the Rfam family "Bacterial small subunit ribosomal RNA", at positions 338 to 795 of the family's 1533-position model. The record is from RNAcentral.